AUCCAGGUGACGAGUCCCAAAUAGGACGAAAUUCGAAUCCUGGAU
Molecule: non-coding RNA, 45 nt
Filed under: Trichobilharzia regenti
Lineage: Eukaryota; Metazoa; Platyhelminthes; Trematoda; Strigeidida; Schistosomatidae
Source: RNAcentral